RNAcentral lists this ribosomal RNA (482 nucleotides) under uncultured bacterium. RNAcentral's name for it is "partial 16S ribosomal RNA". It matches the Rfam family "Bacterial small subunit ribosomal RNA", at positions 30 to 507 of the family's 1533-position model. The record is from RNAcentral.
AUUGAACGCUGGCGGCAUGAUUUACACAUGCAAGUCGAACGGUAACAGGCCGCAAGGUGCUGACGAGUGGCGAACGGGUGAGUAAUGCAUCGGAACGUGCCCAGUCGUGGGGGAUAACUACUCGAAAGAGUAGCUAGUACCGCAUACGAUCUAUGGAUGAAAGCGGGGGACCGUAAGGCCUCGCGCGAUUGGAGCGGCCGAUGUCAGAUUAGGUAGUUGGUGGGGUAAAGGCUCACCAAGCCAACGAUCUGUAGCUGGUCUGAGAGGACGACCAGCCACACUGGGACUGAGACACGGCCCAGACUCCUACGGGAGGCAGCAGUGGGGAAUUUUGGACAAUGGGCGCAAGCCUGAUCCAGCAAUGCCGCGUGCAGGAAGAAGGCCUUCGGGUUGUAAACUGCUGUUGUACGGAACGAAACGGCUCUGGUUAAUACCCGGGGCUAAUGACGGUACCGUAAGAAUAAGCACCGGCUAACUACGUG